GACGAACGCUGGCGGCGUGCUUAACACAUGCGAGUCGAACGGAAAGGCCCUGCUUUUGUGGGGUGCUCGAGUGGCGAACGGGUGAGUAACACGUGAGUAACCUGCCCUUGACUUUGGGAUAACUUCAGGAAACUGGGGCUAAUACCGGAUAGGAGCUCCUGCUGCAUGGUGGGGGUUGGAAAGUUUCGGCGGUUGGGGAUGGACUCGCGGCUUAUCAGCUUGUUGGUGGGGUAGUGGCUUACCAAGGCUUUGACGGGUAGCCGGCCUGAGAGGGUGACCGGCCACAUUGGGACUGAGAUACGGCCCAGACUCCUACGGGAGGCAGCAGUGGGGAAUAUUGCACAAUGGGCGGAAGCCUGAUGCAGCGACGCCGCGUGCGGGAUGACGGCCUUCGGGUUGUAAACCGCUUUCGCCUGUGACGAAGCGUGAGUGACGGUAAUGGGUAAAGAAGCACCGGCUAACUACGU
Molecule: ribosomal RNA, 467 nt
Filed under: uncultured bacterium
Lineage: Bacteria
Description: partial 16S ribosomal RNA
Rfam family: Bacterial small subunit ribosomal RNA
Source: RNAcentral